AACGUAGGAUCCGAGCGUUAUCCGAAUUCACUGGGCGUAAAGCGCGUGCAGGCGGUUCGGUAAGUUGGAUGUGAAAUCUCCUGGCUCAACUGGGAGAGGACGUUCAAUACUGUCGGACUAGAGGACGGCAGAGGAAGGUGGAAUUCCCGGUGUAGUGGUGAAAUGCGUAGAUAUCGGGAGGAACACCAGUGGCGAAGGCGGCCUUCUGGGCCGUACCUGACGCUCAGACGCGAAAGCUAGGGGAG
This 245-nucleotide ribosomal RNA is filed under the name uncultured bacterium. Its description in RNAcentral is "partial 16S ribosomal RNA". It matches the Rfam family "Bacterial small subunit ribosomal RNA", at positions 524 to 768 of the family's 1533-position model. The record is from RNAcentral.